Molecule: long non-coding RNA, 1713 nt
Filed under: Vigna radiata
Lineage: Eukaryota; Viridiplantae; Streptophyta; Magnoliopsida; Fabales; Fabaceae
Description: long non-coding RNA (VRAD_LNC012283)
Source: RNAcentral
UGCCUCAUGGAAAUUAAUCAACGUACACAUCAUUCAACAAUUGGAAUCCAUGCCAUUCUACAAUAAAAGAAAAUUCCAACUUUCACUGCAUAAAAGGAAAUGAAAUCAUAAAGCUAAUUAUCUACACUGUAGCUGGACGUGACAAUGCUUUCAAUUAAAAUGAACACUUCUAAAGAAAACUUCUUUCCCAGGCGGACACCUUUAACUUCCACAAUAAUGAGUGCACCAUGUGCUAUUUCUGGCUACAUUGUGGUAUCUUCGUGCUUCUCCCAAUCAUCAAAUCAGCGGAAAAAUUUAAUAAAAGUGAUAUGCUAAACUUGACCGUGCUUAAUCUAAAAGUGGGAAAUUUAAACAUUGUGCAGAACUUCAAAGAUUAAAGAUGUCUCCCAUCAUGAAUCAUUGUUUUCUUACUUUCUAAAACAAGAGUAAAUGUGCUAAAAUAAAAGAGAAAAUGAGUUUCUCCUUCCAAACUGUGACACUCUACUGGAAUGAAAAGAAAUUAAAAAAAUUCAAAUGCAAGGUGCAGAAUAUUCUAUCCAUAACCCUCCAUGUUUCCUACUCUUCUCCCCCAAUGUAACAGUGUUCUCUCUCAAAUGAAUGUUCAAUCCCUUAUAUAUGGUAGUUGUCCCUGGAGCAAUCCUGAGACCCCCUCUUUUACCCUACAUGCCAGCGUGGAUUGGCUGGACCUGCCGUGUUGCAUCUGGACUUAGUGGACCGUGGGCUUCCUUAUUUUUUUCGUUGGCAACUGGAUGCUUAGACGUUUUGCUGGAUCAGUGGAAGUGUGGAGUGAGGCAGGGAGGUGCGUGUGGAUGCAACCUGCUGGGUCCGUGACGUGUUUUUGCUGCUGGUUGAAUGUUGAUUGCUGAUGAAGCGUGGAGCUGCAGCUUGGGCCGUGAAUUGUUGUGGAGUGCUGCACCUCCUUUGGGCCAUGGCAGCAGCUAGAAUUCUGGAUGUGCCAAAAAGAAUUGCUAACCAUGCUGCAGCUUCUGGAUGUCACACCAUUCAUCUCCAACGCUGUAGUGUAGAGGCCGUGAGCUCAUGUUAAUGUUGGGCCGUGAAAGGAGUUACUGCCUAAUUGCUUGCUGCCAGCCAGGCCUUUAAAUUUUCACCUACAACCCAUUUUCUAUGAUUGAAAUCAGUGCAUGGGUUUCUAAAAUCAAAGGAAAUGAAUUGUUGCUUCUCAUCCUUGAAUCAGCGUUUUUUUAUUCUAAUCACCGUGCAACACCUCUCUUUUUCAUCUAAGUGAAAUCAACCGUCUUAAAUAACCCAUGGGCUGUGACCGUGUAUAUUUUCCUCAGCCAAAAUCAAUUCCUCACCGCAUCCUUCUCAAGACCAAAAUGAAUGCACCCAAUUCUAAUGGAAUAAACUUCUCCAUGUGGGUCGUAGUGUUGCUGCACAACGUCUUCAAAUGUCGGAGCUGUUGCUGGCUUUCUGAAGCCGUGAAUGCUUCUUCCUUCCAUCAAAAGUAAAAGCCAUACAUGUGGCUGCUGGACAAUUUAAUUGGGGCUGCAGCUGGUGGUCGUGUCCGUGUGGAGGCUGCUGGAUUCUUGGUGCUUGGACGCGUGUUCCUCAUGAACCAGCCAGGCCGUGACUCCCUUUCCAAGCCCAAAUGAAAUCAGUAGCUUGCUGUCAGGAGUGUUGCUGGAAGCAUGUAUAUUUGGGCUUCCUUUAUUUUUAAUUGUUGAUGCUACAUAUUAAAUUUCCCAAGUGCCG